RNAcentral lists this long non-coding RNA (571 nucleotides) under Mytilus galloprovincialis (Mediterranean mussel). Lineage: Eukaryota; Metazoa; Mollusca; Bivalvia; Mytilida; Mytilidae. The record is from RNAcentral.
UGUUAAAGGAAAAUAUUCACUGAAUCGAUUCAUAUAAGGUAGGGAUUUUUAGCAUUAAGUUGAAGGGUAGAAAAAGCGUCCCAAGCGGAGACUGUCGUGACCUAAAAAAAAUUUCGUUAGCCACCUUCUUCUAUUUAUAUGGAUAGUCGACCUUCGUAUGGAUAGAAACAAGUGCCUGUGCCCUUGAUGGGCAGCAUAACAUGUACACAUAGAACAAUACAUCAUGAUUUGUAACAAAAAAAAACAUGUAUAUAUACAUGUAUGCACUAUAUGUAGGACUCUUAUCAUUUCAGCUCCUCUAUCCAUACAUUAUCAUUAAAAGUGUUUUUCAACGGCUGUUUGGUAGCAAUAACUUCGUUUUCGAAUAUUUCGAUAGCUGGUUUCUUAUUUCAAUACUGUUAAAGCAAAUUGCACUAUGAAGGGAACCAGAUGCGGUUGCAUAUUUUUAUAAACAAUUUUGAAGAAACGAAUUUUAAAUUCUCAUUUUACACUUACCACAACUGGGGCCUUGUUUCUAGCAUUCGAAAAAGAAACAGUUUUGACAAAAACUACAGGGAUCAUUUAAUUUUAG